GAUGAACGCUAGCGGCAGGCUUAACACAUGCAAGUCGAGGGGCAACACGGGUAGCAAUACCUGGUGGCGACCGGCGCAAGGGUGCGUAACGCGUGAGCAACAUGCCCUAUACAGGGGGAUAAUCCAGGGAAACUUGGUCUAAUAUCCCAUAGUAUUUAGAGGUGGCAUCACCACUAAAUUAAAGCUUCGGUGGUAUAGGAUUGGCUCGCGUGACAUUAGCUGGAUGGUGGGGUAACGGCUCACCAUGGCGAUGAUGUCUAGGGGUUCUGAGAGGAAGACCCCCCACACUGGGACUGAGACACGGCCCAGACUCCUACGGGAGGCAGCAGUGAGGAAUAUUGGACAAUGGAUGGAAAUCUGAUCCAGCCAUGCCGCGUGCAGGAAGACGGCCCUAUGGGUUGUAAAACUGCUUUUAUAUGGGAGCAAUAAGGUUUUACGCGUUAGACCGAUGAGAGUACCAUAUGAAUAAGCAUCGGCUAACUCCGUG
RNAcentral lists this ribosomal RNA (487 nucleotides) under uncultured bacterium. RNAcentral's name for it is "bacterial SSU rRNA". It matches the Rfam family "Bacterial small subunit ribosomal RNA", at positions 28 to 507 of the family's 1533-position model. The record is from RNAcentral.